AUGCAAGUCGAGUGCGCGUCCGUAGCAAUACGGAUGGCGCACGGCGCACGGGUGCGUAACACGUGGGCAAUCUGCCCUCGGAUGGGGGAUACCCCCGCGAAAGCGGGACUAAUACCGCAUGACAUUCCGAAGACCUCGGUCUUUGGAUUCAAAGCCCGCAAGGGCGUCUGAGGAGGAGCCCGCGCCCGAUUAGCUAGUUGGUGAGGUAACGGCUCACCAAGGCAAUGAUCGGUAGCCGGUCUGAGAGGAUGGCCGGCCACACUGGAACUGAGACACGGUCCAGACUCCUACGGGAGGCAGCAGUGGGGAAUAUUGCGCAAUGGGCGAAAGCCUGACGCAGCGACGCCGCGUGGGGGAUGAAGCUUCUCGGAGUGUAAACCCCUUUCGACCCGGAAGAAUGACCCGCAAGGGUUUGACGGUACGGGUAUAAGAAGCCCCGGCUAACUACGUGCCAGCAGCCGCGGUAAUACGUAGGGGGCCAGCGUUGCUCGGAAUUACUGGGCGUAAAGGGUUCGUAGGUGGUGCGGCAAGUUGGGAGUGAAAUCUCUGGGCUUAACUCAGAGGCUGCUUUCAAAACUGCCGUGCUCGAGUGCGAGAGAGGUCAGUGGAAUUGCAGGUGUAGCGGUGAAA
RNAcentral lists this ribosomal RNA (630 nucleotides) under uncultured soil bacterium. Its description in RNAcentral is "bacterial SSU rRNA". It matches the Rfam family "Bacterial small subunit ribosomal RNA", at positions 55 to 686 of the family's 1533-position model. The record is from RNAcentral.